This 253-nucleotide ribosomal RNA is filed under the name uncultured bacterium. RNAcentral's name for it is "partial 16S ribosomal RNA". It matches the Rfam family "Bacterial small subunit ribosomal RNA", at positions 524 to 776 of the family's 1533-position model. The record is from RNAcentral.
UACGUAGGUGGCAAGCGUUGUCCGGAUUUACUGGGCGUAAAGAGCGCGCAGGCGGUCGUCCAAGUCGCGUGUGAAAGCCCCCGGCUCAACUGGGGAGGGUCACUCGAUACUGAUCGACUCGAAGGCAGGAGAGGGUAGUGGAAUUCCCGGUGUAGUGGUGAAAUGCGUAGAUAUCGGGAGGAACACCAGUGGCGAAGGCGACUACCUGGCCUGUUCUUGACGCUGAGGCGCGAAAGCUAGGGGAGCAAACGGG